AUACGGAGGGGGCAAGCGUUGUUCGGAAUUACUGGGCGUAAAGGGCGCGUAGGCGGACGAUCAAGUCAGAGGUGAAAGCCCUGGGCUCAACCUGGGAACUGCCUUUGAAACUGAUAGUCUAGAGUCCGAGAGAGGAUGGCGGAAUUCCCAGUGUAGAGGUGAAAUUCGUAGAUAUUGGGAAGAACACCAGUGGCGAAGGCGGCCAUCUGGCUCGGUACUGACGCUGAGGCGCGAAAGUGUGGGGAGCAAACAGGAUUAGAAGCCCCGGUAGUCC
RNAcentral lists this ribosomal RNA (274 nucleotides) under uncultured bacterium. RNAcentral's name for it is "partial 16S ribosomal RNA". It matches the Rfam family "Bacterial small subunit ribosomal RNA", at positions 523 to 796 of the family's 1533-position model. The record is from RNAcentral.